GGAAUUUUCCGCAAUGGGCGAAAGCCUGAUGGAGCGACACCGCGUGAAGGAUGAAGGCCUAACGGUUGUAAACUUCUUUUCUGAAGGAGCAUAAUGAGAGUACUUCAGGAAUAAGGGACGGCUAAAUACGUGCCAGCAGCCGCGGUAAUACGUAUGUCUCGAGCGUUACCCGGAAUCACUGGGUGUAAAGGGUUUGUAGGCGGCUUGUUAAGUUGGAUAUGAAAGACCGGAGCUCAACUCCGAGUUUGUGUUCAAAACUGGCAAGCUAGAAUCAAGGAGAGGUAAGCGGAAUUCUAAGUGUAGGGGUGCAAUCCGUAGAUACUUAGAGGAACACCAAAAGCGAAGGCAGCUUACUGGAAUUGUAUUGACGCUGAGGAACGAAAGCGUGGGGAGCGAAAAGGAUUAGAUACCCCUGUAGUC
RNAcentral lists this ribosomal RNA (420 nucleotides) under uncultured cyanobacterium. RNAcentral's name for it is "bacterial SSU rRNA". It matches the Rfam family "Bacterial small subunit ribosomal RNA", at positions 358 to 795 of the family's 1533-position model. The record is from RNAcentral. RNAcentral also lists the same sequence under 1 other name. Lineage: Bacteria; Bacillati; Cyanobacteriota.